Molecule: ribosomal RNA, 447 nt
Filed under: uncultured bacterium
Lineage: Bacteria
Description: bacterial SSU rRNA
Rfam family: Bacterial small subunit ribosomal RNA
Source: RNAcentral
UCGGGAAUUUUGGGCAAUGGGCGAAAGCCUGACCCAGCAACGCCGCGUGAAGGAUGAAGUAUUUCGGUAUGUAAACUUCGAAAGAAUAGGAAGAAUAAAUGACGGUACUAUUUAUAAGGUCCGGCUAACUACGUGCCAGCAGCCGCGGUAAUGCGUAGGGACUAAGCGUUGUUCGGAUUUACUGGGCGUAAAGGGCGCGUAGGCGGCAAUUCAAGUCAUCUGUGAAAUCUCCGGGCUUAACUCGGAACGGUCAGAUGAUACUGCUUUGCUAGAGUGCAGAAGGGGCAAUCGGAAUUCUUGGUGUAGCGGUGAAAUGCGUAGAUAUCAAGAGGAACACCUGAGGUGAAGACGGGUUGCUGGGCUGACACUGACGCUGAGGCGCGAAAGCCAGGGGAGCAAACGGGAUUAGAUACCCCUGUAGUCCCUGAGCGGGCUGGCAAGGCGCAU